Molecule: ribosomal RNA, 373 nt
Filed under: Klebsiella pneumoniae
Lineage: Bacteria; Pseudomonadati; Pseudomonadota; Gammaproteobacteria; Enterobacterales; Enterobacteriaceae
Description: bacterial SSU rRNA
Rfam family: Bacterial small subunit ribosomal RNA
Source: RNAcentral
AGCUUGCUUCUCGGGUGACGAGCGGCGGACGGGUGAGUAAUGUCUGGGAAACUGCCUGAUGGAGGGGGAUAACUACUGGAAACGGUAGCUAAUACCGCAUAACGUCGCAAGACCAAAGUGGGGGACCUUCGGGCCUCAUGCCAUCAGAUGUGCCCAGAUGGGAUUAGCUAGUAGGUGGGGUAACGGCUCACCUAGGCGACGAUCCCUAGCUGGUCUGAGAGGAUGACCAGCCACACUGGAACUGAGACACGGUCCAGACUCCUACGGGAGGCAGCAGUGGGGAAUAUUGCACAAUGGGCGCAAGCCUGAUGCAGCCAUGCCGCGUGUGUGAAGAAGGCCUUCGGGUUGUAAAGCACUUUCAGCGGGGAGGAAG